Molecule: non-coding RNA, 4427 nt
Organism: Microcebus murinus (gray mouse lemur)
Lineage: Eukaryota; Metazoa; Chordata; Mammalia; Primates; Cheirogaleidae
Source: RefSeq, a predicted model, not a curated record
AUAAAUAAAUUAGUGGGCUAAAUGCUUGGUCCCAGCCUGCAAGGCUAUCAGAAAGGAAUUCCUAGGUAUUUAAUUCUAACUAUACAGAGGUAAUGGAAGUGGAAGGUAAUACCUAAACAAUUUGAAUUUUACUAAAAUUUUUAACUCAAAGAUAGUUAAUCUCCGGAGAUAAAAGUUCCCAUUUUCAAAGGUGUCAAUCAUUUUUAAAAACUCAGAAAUCAUGCGAAUCAGAGUUACGAUGGGUUGUUAGGCAACAGGAGGCAGAUUACUAUCUGUGGCUGUCUUUAAACUAUGGGAACCUUCUAGUGUCAGUAAUUUCAUAUAAAUUAUUUUUAGCCACUUAAUAGAUCAAAUAUCAGAGGAAUGAAAAAAGUAGCUGGACAGAAAUCUACUUGCUUGCACCCAAACUGGCUUCACCAAAGCCACAAGGAGGUCUAUCUCUAUUCCUCUCUAGCACCUGGCCAGUGAGCAACCCCGCUAAGUACAUGGCCAGGGAAUAGGAAAAGUUAAGGCAGCCCAGCACUUUCUACUGGAAAAAAAAAAAAUGACAAAGCAACUUUAAUGAAAACAGGUUUUUAUAAAAUUAUCCAAAAUUUACCACAACUACUUUCACUUCUGCAUAUUAGUCUACAGUGGAUAAUAAGUUCUUAGGUUUGAAAGGGAUCUUCGAGAUCUCCUUGUCCAACUUCAUUUUAUUGAAACAGAAAUGAAAACCUCAAGCUUAGAAGGGACUGGCUCAGGAUCACAGUAAUUGUGACAGAUCUAUGACUAAGGCAGAGGUCUUCCAACGCCUAGUGCAGUACUCUUUCCACUACAUCACCCCAUUCCUUGCUGGAAUCCUGCUUUGUCUUACACAACAGACAGGCAGAACCCCAAUUCUGCAAGGCAAACUACCUACAUUCCAAGAACUUACUGGACUAUGAAGGAGCAAAGGAGUAUGACAGCCACCAAAAAGAAAACCAGAAGGAACCCCAAGUCCACCCUCCUCACGUCCACUGGUCAACCUAAUUACCAAUAAAUUUCCAUGUCCUUCCUCCUUUCUUACUUUACCAACUGAAGAGUCAUUGUGGUAUGUGGGAAGAGAUGGAGCAGAAGAGGUGGCAGAAGUUACCUACCCCCCCUGCUCAGAAACUUUCUUCUUUUUCUACCUUUUAUGGAUUCUCAAGUGUGCCCCCUCCCCCUUCUUGGGGACUCCAGAACUUAGCCCUCAGUAUAUAGUUCAGGGCUUUCUAUGUCAUCUUAAGAAUGGUUAAAAAUACUAAUGAAAUAAACAGCACAUGGAUUAUGCACAAUAAUUUGUCUCUUUAGAUUUUUGCUUGCUAUAUAACAUAUGAUUACACAGAAACAAAAUCCCACCUCAUGCUAUUUCCAGGCUGUGACAUCUGGAACUAAAUUAACUCUGCCAAGCUCUGGGGAUCUCAGAGAAACCAAGGAAGAGCAGGUACUGACUCAGGGAGAAAACCCCCCAGGAGCAGACUUGUGUCUCUUCACCUGCUCCAGCUGCCCCUGUGCUUUCCUUCAUUGUCGUCCUAUCAAGCAAGACUGUUAAACUCUUAAGGAAUCGCUUUCUGCUCUACCAAUAAAAGCAAAUUACAAAAUCAUCUUUUUUUUUUCCUUUUUGAAGACUCUGCCUUUUUACUGUUGGAUCCAGACACCGUUAAGUAUUUGAAUUUAAGCCAAAAUUCUUGCAAAAACCAGAUGUUCUUUACAGAAGCUUGUGUUUACUACAGAGUCUGGUACCACAUCUGAAGACACCCUUCCCACUGAACAAUCUACCAGGGCUGGUGACUGCAGCUUUCACCGGGAAGUCUUCACGAUGGCCCGUAACAGGAAGAUGCUGACCUGGCUGGGUAACUGCACAGCUGUGCCUCAGCAUGGCGUCACAGCCAUAAGAAAUGCAAGUCCAACAUCGGCUUCCUCCUCAAUAGCGUUUUAAAUGCAUGUUGAAGUCUUUGGAGCAAGCAUCAGCACACAGCAAACAUCCUCAAGGUUUCCUCCACUUGUCUCUCCUCCCCAAGACACAUGCAUCUGGGCAGGUGUUCCCUUAAAACUGUUUUCCUCCCCAAAACAGUCUGGGCUUCCCUCCCACUUCCUGCUGUCCCACCUGCUGGAACUCAGCUGCAGCUCGACGCUCCACACGGCCUGGCUCAUGUCUUCCCAAGUCUUCUCUUCACUGUCCCACAAAUCCCAAGCAGCAGGGGCUCAACAGGGAAACACAGAAUCCUCCUUAAAGGGGAUCCCCUGAGAGGUGAACACUUACACACCAAUGUUUUUCUUUUCAGACUCAUACUAGUGCAUUGUAAAUGGUAUUGUAACAAGUUGCCCCAUGACAGAGGGGCAGAGUUCCAGUUCUGUGGCCCUGUUUCGCAUGGGCAGGCAUGAGCUGGGGUGUGUACAAGCAGGGCUCUCUGGGAAGCUUGGGGCAGCCCUACCAGGAAGGCAGUAGCAGUAAGUAUGUCUCUGACUCCAUCGUCAUUGCCACUGUUGUCCUCCGAGGUCCCACAAGCUGGAACCCCUUCCUCAAACCAACCAGCAGUCCCCAAAGAACACCUAGGACCUUGAAGAGCAGCUUGCAAACUACAGGCUGGGUGAUUUCUAUCUACGGUGCUAUACCCCUGUUCCGUUCUUACCCAUGACAUUGCUUUUAUAAGAAAUGACCAUUUCUUUGCAAAAUAUCUUCUAAUGCAUUACAAUCAAUUAGUCUUUUCUUCCCCUGUCUCUCAAGAGGAGAAGAAAAACCAUCAGCAUAUCCAGCCUACAAACCUCUGAGCUGGUUCAGCUGAAACCCAGUUCUCUGGGCAAUCUUUUUGCAUUUGUCAGAAAACUACUCCCUUCCAAUCACUGUCAGAAGUUGAUUUGUCACAGACCAUCAAAGCUCAUGCAAAGAUGGAAAAAAUCAUGCAUAGCUAAAGGAUUUGUUUGAGGCCCACAGUUAAUUAUAAUUGCACCAGGGGCCAGAAAGUCGGGCUCACCUGUCACUGUUCACUGCUCAGGACAAAAGGAGUUCAACAGGAAUAGAAGACCCAUUAACUCCACAGGGGGCCUGGAAAACAUCGGAAAAGUACAGGCCCUGAGGAAUGGCAGAUCUAAGUGCCGGGGCAUAUGUGAGGUGCACGCUCAGGUUGCACUUGGCCUUGACAAUACUCACAGGCAGACUUUCUGCACUAAGGUGCAGCACCCAGAAGACUCGUGUCUGCCAGGUGGCUCCAGCCAUUAGCAUGAUACCUGCAGAGAGACGAGAGGAGGAGAGGGAAGGGAAAGGGAGCCCCAAACCUCAGAUGGAAAGACAGCCCAACCUCUUUAUACCAUCUCCCCAUAUGGUAGCCACCGCCGGAAUCAAAGUGUGUGCAGUAAAGACUUAAACGUCUGCUCAGUAACUGCUGACUCAACUCAGAGCCUGGGGAAGACAGGACCCAUAGUAUAGUUUGUAUUUUUAACUAUUUUUAAAAAUUCUUUGGCUUUUUCCCAUAUUAAGUACAUUUAUCUACCUGUGACCCUAGUUUAAAAAAUGAAAGUCUAACCAGUAUUGUCAGCACCUGUGUCAAUGGAAAACAAAUCUCUCAAAAUUAUAUUCAAGUUUCCCCUAAAAGCAUUAUGAUAGCUUUAUUACUAUCAUAUAGACACAUAAUCAAAAGAAAAAGAUCUACUGUGCAACACUGAAUGUGAUUCCCUCUUUUUAUUCCUCCGACCUUAUCCCAAAAUACUUCCCCAGCAAUUUUAACUAUUUUGUUUCUCAAACCCAAACAAUCCACGAGCAUAGAUUUCUUCCCAGGAUCAAGGCUAAGGCUGGAAGUAAGCUAGCACCUUGGGUGGGCUGAACGCCAAAACCAGGGAGAGAGGAUUGCUGCAGAGUGGAAAGUUGCAAAAUUAUUACUGCAAAGCAUACACGGCAGAGUCAAUAAGAAACUCAAGUGACUUUGAGUGAAACAUGGCAGAUUGGAUAUACAUGCUCUGACUUCAGAAAUGUUGAUUUCCCCAGGCUGCAGUCAUUUCCUCGCCAGCCUUCUCUUGGUUCUUGUGGGUUUAUGCCUUUGUUCCAAAAGGAGUGAACCUCACAUUGGUGGGUUUGAAGAGUAAACAAAGAUAAGUGGGCAUGUGUUCCUACUCCAGACAAGAGACAGCUGAAAUCUACGCGGGAGCAAGGAGCAGCGAAUCAGUUCGCCACGCAGACCUCCAAAGGGCUUGAGGAUAUGAAAGGUGAGGGCUAGAAGCAGCCUCAGAAGUUCUGCUUUAAUUAGCCUGGGCUAGGGCUCAGGCAUCAGUACUUUCUGAAAUCCCCACAGUGAUUUUAAAUUAUAGCCACUGCUGACAACCAUCAUCUUGAAAAGGCAAAGAGUUAAAACAGCUAAGGACAGGACUCAGGAGAAAAGCACUGAAUCUCAUGUUGGACUCUGUUCCUUUUUUUUUGGCAAUAGGGUCUUGCUCUG